GGGGAAAGGUCCAUUUCAGACGCUUAAAAUCUGUGCAUUAAUCUGCCACC
This 50-nucleotide transfer RNA is filed under the name Ampullaceana lagotis. Its description in RNAcentral is "tRNA-Leu". The record is from RNAcentral. Lineage: Eukaryota; Metazoa; Mollusca; Gastropoda; Lymnaeidae.